Molecule: ribosomal RNA, 597 nt
Filed under: uncultured bacterium
Lineage: Bacteria
Description: bacterial SSU rRNA
Rfam family: Bacterial small subunit ribosomal RNA
Source: RNAcentral
CCUACGGGAGGCAGCAGUAAGGAAUCUUCCACAAUGGACGAAAGUCUGAUGGAGCAACGCCGCGUGCAGGAUGAAGGCUUUCGGGUCGUAAACUGCUUUUAUAUGGGAAGAUUAUGACGGUACCAUAUGAAUAAGGACCGGCUAACUACGUGCCAGCAGCCGCGGUAAUACGUAGGGUCCAAGCGAUAUCCGGAAUUACUGGGCGUAAAGCGUGUGUAGGUGGAUUAAUAAGUGUGAUGCGAAAUCCGGCGGCUCAACCGUUUGGACUGUGUCGCAUACUGUUAGUCUAGAGGACGGCAGAGGUAAGUGGAAUUACGGGUGUAGCAGUGAAAUGCGUAGAUAUCCGUAGGAACACCAAUGGCGAAGGCAGCUUACUGGGCCACACCUGACACUGAGACACGAAAGCGUGGGGAGCGAACAGGAUUAGAUACCCUGGUAGUCCACGCCGUAAACGAUGCAUACUAUUAGUAUGGGGUAUCGACCCCCUGUGCUGAGAAGCUAACGCGAUAAGUAUGCCGCCUGGGGAGUACGAGCGCAAGCUUAAAACUCAAAGGAAUUGACGGCUGNGAGNGCGACGGACGACGACGAGGGAGGAGG